RNAcentral lists this ribosomal RNA (1430 nucleotides) under Limosilactobacillus fermentum. Its description in RNAcentral is "bacterial SSU rRNA". It matches the Rfam family "Bacterial small subunit ribosomal RNA". The record is from RNAcentral. Lineage: Bacteria; Bacillati; Bacillota; Bacilli; Lactobacillales; Lactobacillaceae.
UGCAGUCGAACGCGUUGGCCCAAUUGAUUGAUGGUGCUUGCACCUGAUUGAUUUUGGUCGCCAACGAGUGGCGGACGGGUGAGUAACACGUAGGUAACCUGCCCAGAAGCGGGGGACAACAUUUGGAAACAGAUGCUAAUACCGCAUAACAGCGUUGUUCGCAUGAACAACGCUUAAAAGAUGGCUUCUCGCUAUCACUUCUGGAUGGACCUGCGGUGCAUUAGCUUGUUGGUGGGGUAACGGCCUACCAAGGCGAUGAUGCAUAGCCGAGUUGAGAGACUGAUCGGCCACAAUGGGACUGAGACACGGCCCAUACUCCUACGGGAGGCAGCAGUAGGGAAUCUUCCACAAUGGGCGCAAGCCUGAUGGAGCAACACCGCGUGAGUGAAGAAGGGUUUCGGCUCGUAAAGCUCUGUUGUUAAAGAAGAACACGUAUGAGAGUAACUGUUCAUACGUUGACGGUAUUUAACCAGAAAGUCACGGCUAACUACGUGCCAGCAGCCGCGGUAAUACGUAGGUGGCAAGCGUUAUCCGGAUUUAUUGGGCGUAAAGAGAGUGCAGGCGGUUUUCUAAGUCUGAUGUGAAAGCCUUCGGCUUAACCGGAGAAGUGCAUCGGAAACUGGAUAACUUGAGUGCAGAAGAGGGUAGUGGAACUCCAUGUGUAGCGGUGGAAUGCGUAGAUAUAUGGAAGAACACCAGUGGCGAAGGCGGCUACCUGGUCUGCAACUGACGCUGAGACUCGAAAGCAUGGGUAGCGAACAGGAUUAGAUACCCUGGUAGUCCAUGCCGUAAACGAUGAGUGCUAGGUGUUGGAGGGUUUCCGCCCUUCAGUGCCGGAGCUAACGCAUUAAGCACUCCGCCUGGGGAGUACGACCGCAAGGUUGAAACUCAAAGGAAUUGACGGGGGCCCGCACAAGCGGUGGAGCAUGUGGUUUAAUUCGAAGCUACGCGAAGAACCUUACCAGGUCUUGACAUCUUGCGCCAACCCUAGAGAUAGGGCGUUUCCUUCGGGAACGCAAUGACAGGUGGUGCAUGGUCGUCGUCAGCUCGUGUCGUGAGAUGUUGGGUUAAGUCCCGCAACGAGCGCAACCCUUGUUACUAGUUGCCAGCAUUAAGUUGGGCACUCUAGUGAGACUGCCGGUGACAAACCGGAGGAAGGUGGGGACGACGUCAGAUCAUCAUGCCCCUUAUGACCUGGGCUACACACGUGCUACAAUGGACGGUACAACGAGUCGCGAACUCGCGAGGGCAAGCAAAUCUCUUAAAACCGUUCUCAGUUCGGACUGCAGGCUGCAACUCGCCUGCACGAAGUCGGAAUCGCUAGUAAUCGCGGAUCAGCAUGCCGCGGUGAAUACGUUCCCGGGCCUUGUACACACCGCCCGUCACACCAUGAGAGUUUGUAACACCCAAAGUCGGUGGGGUAACCUUUU